RNAcentral lists this ribosomal RNA (424 nucleotides) under uncultured bacterium. RNAcentral's name for it is "bacterial SSU rRNA". It matches the Rfam family "Bacterial small subunit ribosomal RNA", at positions 354 to 776 of the family's 1533-position model. The record is from RNAcentral.
GUGAGGAAUAUUGGUCAAUGGGCGCAGGCCUGAACCAGCCAAGUCGCGUGAGGGAAGACUGCCCUAUGGGUUGUAAACCUCUUUUAUAAGGGAAGAAUAAUGACUACGUGUAGUCAGAUGCCCGUACCUUAUGAAUAAGCAUCGGCUAACUCCGUGCCAGCAGCCGCGGUAAUACGGAGGAUGCGAGCGUUAUCCGGAUUUAUUGGGUUUAAAGGGUGCGUAGGCGGUAUUUUAAGUUAGUGGUAAAACGUCGGGGCUUCACCUUGAUUGGCCAUUAAAACUGGAGUACUAGAGUACAGACGAGGUAGGCGGAAUAAGUUAAGUAGCGGUGAAAUGCUUAGAUAUAACUUAGAACCCCGAUAGCGAAGGCAGCUUACCAGACUGUUACUGACGCUGAAGCACGAGAGCGUGGGUAGCGAACAGG